CAAGAGGUUGUCCAAGAUAAACAAGAAAAUCUGUCUCAAUUCUUAGAAUGCCUUACAAAGGCUUUACUGCAAUAUACUAAUCUGGACCCUGAAAGCCUAGAAGCCUCUUAGGUGGACCUCCAAGCUUGGGAUGUCCAGAACCCCUCUGUUGCUAAACAUCAUUCUCCCGUUGUCAUCCAGUUACUGGACUCUACCAGUUCUUGUUACAGGAUUACCAGUUGCUGUCCACAGAAGAGCCUGGUACACACAUCCACAGAAUGGGCCCCGAUGGUGAAAAAGCCAGCUCUUCCCCCC
Long non-coding RNA from Grammomys surdaster, 294 nucleotides. RefSeq lists it as uncharacterized. NCBI's taxonomy places the organism in Eukaryota, Metazoa, Chordata, Mammalia, Rodentia, Muridae. The transcript is spliced from 3 exons. The record is from RefSeq and is a predicted model, not a curated record.